AAUAGGGGAUCCUUUGGAAGAAAUCCCUUCCGAGGAAGAAGAUGGAAGUAUAAACUGUGAAAUAGGAUUGGCCAUUGUAGUAGCAGAAGAAAGGGAGAUCACCGAGAGCACUAACGCUAAGGAAGAAGGAACAGGGGAUCCUUUGGAAGAAAUCCCUUCCGAGGAAGAAGAUGGAAGUAUAAACUGUGAAAUAGGAUUGGAGGAGACUACAGAUGAAACUAUCUCAAUGACAAAUACCAUUCUCUGGAGCUCCCAGCAGUAUGAAAGUGAACAUCAAGAUCCUACUGGAUCUGACUGAGAAGAUAGUGAUCUAGGCUGAAGAAUGCUUGGGGGUUGGAACUUCCUGUCUCAUCACUGCUGCCUCAAGACUUGGUGGAAACAUAGACUUAUUUGAGCAUCUUCUCACAUUCUUUUGAUGCUUGCAGUUCAUCUUUCCAUUGUUGUUCUGAUUACCGUGAUCAUUUAGUACCAUUUUUUUCAAGGAAAUCAUUCUAGAUCGGUGCCAGCUGGGGUAACUGCCCUCUUUGAUUCCUUCUCACACAGGAUUAACAUCUGCCACUGUGCACCAGGACUGCUCCAGACAAAUGAAAUACUAUCUAGCCUAUUUCAUUAAUAGCAUUCCUUUAUAAUUCUGAAAAUAAUAAUGGUGAGGCCUGUACAACAGCUGCCACACAUUUCUUUUAAAAACAAAAUAAAACAGAGAAUUAUUAUGUAACGGGAACUUUCCCAAAAUCAACCAGCUAACUCUGCUGCACAGUAAGAGUCACCUGAAGUCUUUAUGUAGAACAAUAAAACAUCUGCAAACAGAUCUGAAAACUUA
Long non-coding RNA from Candoia aspera, 820 nucleotides. RefSeq lists it as uncharacterized. The record is from RefSeq and is a predicted model, not a curated record. The transcript is spliced from 2 exons. NCBI's taxonomy places the organism in Eukaryota, Metazoa, Chordata, Lepidosauria, Squamata, Candoiidae.